Molecule: long non-coding RNA, 1050 nt
Organism: Aegilops tauschii subsp. strangulata
Lineage: Eukaryota; Viridiplantae; Streptophyta; Magnoliopsida; Poales; Poaceae
Source: RefSeq, a predicted model, not a curated record
AUUCGGUGACUGUGUCCUAGUCCGAGCCGGCUAGGAUAGGAAAGACGUGUUUAUUUCCAACAGUGCCAGCCAUGGCUUAUGGCUAUCAGGGAGGCUCCGCAGCAGCUAUUGCGGCAGAUUAGCGGGCGAUCUAAAAUUGUGCCAUUAAUAGUUCGGAAUCGAUAACUUCCGAACGUGCCAUGUUUUUCCUCCUGGUUCCGAACGUGCUUUGCGCCGUAGGAUCAUUAGCACGAAUAUUAGAGAAGGGAGAUCAGCCAUGUCACCCUUUUUUUGUUCGGAAAAUAAACGCCUCGUCGCGAACGCCUCUCGGGUCUUAUGUCUUAUCCUCUUCCCCCACCGCCCAUUCUACAUCCCACCCAUCUCUCUCCUAGGGGCACACUCAGGAGAGCGACCAUACGGCGGUGAUGUCGGAGAAGAGGCAGGUGGCGGCGGAGACCAGGAAAGUAGUUCACUGUCUCGCAGCUCCACUGGGACCAACGUCGUGGUGUCGAGCGGCGAAGACGAGCGGGCUGUGCCGUCUCCGAGGGCGGGCAGAGAACUCGACGACGAGGGCGUCGAGCUUGAGCCAGGCGAGCGGAGGCGGCGCUACGUGCGGCGGGCGGUGAACUCGGCGACGAGAGCAUCGAGCUUGAGUCAGGCGAGCGGAGGCGGCGCUGCGCGCGGCGGGCGGCGAACUCGGCGACGAGGGCAUGUACGCCUCCGGCUUGUGCACCAGCAGCUGCUUUGAAAGGAGGCGCGGGUCAACGAAGCGCUGGCGAGGGUGGCCAAUUCACAGGAUCGCACGGAGAAGGUUGGGGGUGUGAAGGUUUAAGAUGAUGAGCUCGACGUUGCUAUCGUUGGUGGAGGCAUGGUGGGCUUGGCUGUUUGCUUGUGUAGUGUGUAAGUAUUGAUCCCUUCGUGUACUUCUCUUCCUUCGAUUAAAUUGUUCAUGAGGUCAGCUUAGUGUUACGCUUAGGCUGAGAAUCGAUCCCAGCAUUAGUUAUAAAAAGGAAACUUGGCACUAUUGUAAUAAAGUUCUCAGAGAUUCUUCCAGCCAUUUUUACUAGUUCA